GAUGAACGCUGGCGGCGUGCCUAAUACAUGCAAGUCGAGCGAACAGACGAGGAGCUUGCUCCUCUGACGUUAGCGGCGGACGGGUGAGUAACACGUGGAUAACCUACCUAUAAGACUGGGAUAACUUCGGGAAACCGGAGCUAAUACCGGAUAAUAUAUUGAACCGCAUGGUUCAAUAGUUAAAUACGGUUUUUCUGUCACUUAUAGAUGGAUCCGCGCCGCACUAGCUAGUUGGUAAGGUAACGGCUUACCAAGGCUACGAUGCGUAGCCGACCUGAGAGGGUGAUCGGCCACCCGGGAACUGAGACACGGUACAGACACCUACGGGAGGCAGCAGUAGGGAAUCUUCCGCAAUGGGGGAAAGCCUAACGGAGCAACGCCGCGGGAGUGAUGAAGGUCUUCGGAUCGUAAAACUCUGUUAUUAGGUAAGAACAAAUGUGUAAGUAACUAUGAACGUCUUGACGGUACCUAAUCAGAAAGCCACGGCUAACUACGUG
Molecule: ribosomal RNA, 497 nt
Filed under: uncultured bacterium
Lineage: Bacteria
Description: partial 16S ribosomal RNA
Rfam family: Bacterial small subunit ribosomal RNA
Source: RNAcentral